AAGAAACGACGCAACUGCCCCGUUCGGCGACCCGUUCGGCGAUCGCCGUCUGGGUCGCCGAAAAUGGCCGGUUUUGUUCUCGGAUUCGGCGAUCGCCGAAUAAUCCACCUUAGGCCAAAAAUCAGUCAGGGAAUUCGGCGACCUGGACGGCGAUCGCCGUCUGGGUCGCCGUUUGCACCCUUUAAACCUCUAAAAUUCGGCGGUCAACGCUCCUUUGACCGCCGAUCGCUCCUUUUUCGUCCCGACUCAGAAUCUUCGUCUUUUCUUGAUCUUUGGGCUCGAUUCUCUCAAAACUCUUCUCCUCAACAUGUUCCUUACACUCUAUGCUUCCAAAACACUCAAUUCUGCAUCCAAACAGUCAAAACUACACCCAAACGUGAAAUCACGAAAUAAUAGGCAAUAAACUCUAAACCAUAAUGAAACGGGUGUAAAAUUGACUUAAACUACAGAAUAUAUACCAUAAAAACCAUGCAAAAUGAGUGUUUAUCAACUCCCCCAAACUUAAGAUGUUGCUCGUCCUCGAACAACGAGAAGAACAAAACAAUAAACACGAAUGGGUAAGAUGAUUGGAUCAUCGAUGCCUCAGAAAAAUAAAACCUUUUCGAAUUCCCUCAAAUCCUCAAUACAGGAACACAAUAAUCAACAACAGGCAUAAUCAAUGGCAAAUUCAACCUUGACAUUCCAACAAUUGACUCUCAAGAUAAAAGUGUUUCACUCAACUCUCAAUUGAUGGAUAAAGGACGUGUAUCACUCAUCGAAACUCAUACAAUGCAGAUUACUUACCAUAUGCUUGCCACUUGUCUCAAAAUCUCCAUCGCUAAAAGUGUGUCAAGAGUAAGAUCAAAUAGGUCUUUAAUUUGGGUUCUAAUGUAGGGACAUUGGAUUAGGUAGGGAAAUUUGGCUAAGUGACUCAAUUAAAUUGAUUACACCAACCUUAUGACUUCACCAUUUAAGCAUGGAAUAAAUUCCAUCUUCUACCUAACAACAUCUUCAUAAUCAUCACAAAUCAAGGGGUAUAAUCAUCACAAAUCAUGCUAGACAUUCCUUUAUGCUCUCACUUUUCUAAUAACAACGAAGUCGAUUUCUCAUGAAUUUUUCAAUUAUCACUCGACUUUCUCAAACAACUUCCAUCAAAACUUCUUCCUUUUCUUUUUCUUUUUCUUGAGCUUAUAAGAAUGACUAGAAUCUUUUUCUUUCACCCCUUAUUUUCAAUAAACCCAUCACAAAUACCACAUAACGAUCCCCAUAAACUCCAUCACCCCCUAUCGUCCGGUUAAUGAAUAAAAGCUCAGAACGGCUCAAACACGGUUAACAAGGGAUUAAUGUUUUCAGGUUAGUGUUUGGGAUAUAACGUGGCUUACAAAAGAUGGCCUAAGAUCAUCUCAAACUCUUGAACACAACGAGCAACCUCGACCAAGACUCAUGGCAAGUUCUAGAAGUGCACUACAUGCAUGACAACUCUCAAAAACAAAGAACAAACUGCAAAAAUGGGCAGUUAAGGCUCAAUUACUCACCAGCUUGUUCAACGUCAAAAUUCAAGGCAAAAUCUACUCAUCAAUCACACUCAUCGGUUCAAAUCAUGUCACCAUAUCAAGAAAAAUUAGGAAUUACCUUCUUUUUCGCAGAAAUCUUCACAGGCACCUUACCAAACAACUAAAUGGAGCAACAACCAAUCAAAUAGCACAGAAAAUACGGAAUAAGUCUGAGAGAAUUAAUCAAUUUAGGUACAUGCCCACGAAUAAAAGAUCUAGAGAUUUCCUCACCAAAACAUCAAAAAGAACAGAAAAAUGAAAAAUGCUAGGCUAAAAAUGCAAACCAUAACUAAUCUCCAUCCCCCUCCCCCAAACUUAUUAAGGAGCUAAUGCUCGAAAAUAAGGUUGGAGGGAAAAAUAGAUAAAAGUUAUGGUUAGCAUACUUACUAAUCCUCAAGAUGGCGGUCCCUGUCUCCUCUGGAACUCCUGAAACUGUCUUAGGAGUUCCUCCUGCAUAGCCAUCUGCCUCGCAUACUCCUGUUGCUGCCUCUCCAUCUCCGCCCGCUGCCACGCCUCAAAAGCGCCAUAGUGAGCGAACUGCUCGCGCUGAUAGGCGUCCAUGGCUUGUUGCUGCAGUCUAACCGCUGUGACAUCAGUGCGCAUCACUGUGAGCUGCGCCUCUUGUUGCUCGGCGAAGGCCUGCAACCGCUGCAUCCUGUCAGUAAGAUCAGUCACAUCAAAAUGACGGACCCGGUCCCCAUUGGUCUCCUGCUGCGUCGGCGGCGGGUUCCUCUUGCACCUCUUCCUCCUCGUACACCUGCUGCGGGAUCUGCUCGUCCGCCGGCAUCCCUGCUACAGCCCUUACGUGGGCGUUUGUGUUCAUCAACCAGUUCUGCGUUUCAAAACGUCCGCCCACACGAGUAAGAGGCGGGUUCGGCAGGGGGAAGUGGUCGCCAUCAGUUUGCACCAAUUUGAAAGGUGGUUGGGCGCUCCUCAAGAAUCGCAUGUUGACCAACCGACGGGCAUUGAGCAGAUUGUCGCCCUCCAAAGCAUCCCACUGAGCGAUUGCGGGACAAAUGCGGCGUGCAAGGGGCGUUAUCAUCCCUCCAAUGGUGAUCACUCCUGCGGUAGUCCUAGAUGCCUUGAAUAUCUGCCUGAGGANUGAUCUACUAUUUUUAUAGACAACAAUAAACUGACAACUAAACAGUAUAAUUGUAGUACGAAAACAGCAAGCAGAGUAUCGUAUCCACAGAGACUGUAAACGAAAUUACUCUAUCUACUUCCUAAACAGACUCUCACAGUAUGCAGGUAAAACGAAUUUGAAGGUGAAUUACGAACUAAGAUUAACUAAAUAAAACUAAAGAGCAUGUAAACUAUAAUAAUUAACUCAAAUAUAUGGAAAACUCUGACCCUAGGGAUGUACUUUCACUAAUCAACUACAUGUAUUUAACCUAUUGAUUCAAUUACCAAUUUUAAUCCAACCCUGAUGAAAGAUCACUAUAUUAUUCACAAGCGUCUCUAACGACCACCUAUGAACGUAGAUUAAUUAAUCCCUUUUCGCAUUCAAGACUCCAAGGAAUAAAUUAACUCCAAAUAGCACAUAAAGAAUAGCUUCCUAUAGCUUCACCUAUCGCAUUCAAGACUCAAGGUUAACACUAUAUCAUGCAUUCCUGAAUCGGCUGAACAAUUAUCGCAUUCAAGACUCAAAUUGAACAGCUAAACAUGUAAAUCAUUGAUCAGAUAAUUCACAAGAGAACAGGCACCAGGAAUCAUGAAUCAUAAGUUGGAAGGCAAAUUGAUAUCAAUAAAUCAAAAACACAUAAUCAAUCAGCUAUGUACAAACCCUAGGUUCAGAUUAAAAGAUUAGCCAGACAUAAUAAAAUCAAACAUAAAAAUAAUUAAAUUGAACGCAAUUGUAAAAACAAAUUGUAUAAAACCGAAUUAAAACGAUUGUAGCGGCUUGAAUCUUCAAUCCUGAUCCAAGCCUUGAAAACUGGAAAGCUCAAAAGUUCUAAAGCUAUAAAACUGUAAUAUGAAUGUUAAGAACUGAAAAACUAAAGCUGGGAACCCUAGAUAGGUCUAAAGAGGACCUAUUUAUAGUCUUAGGGUGAAAAACCAAGUUCUAAACCGAAAAUAACUUGAAAAAUCGUAAAAACGCGGAAGAAAAUAAAACACGCGGUCAAUUCGGCGGCCCGUUCGGCGGUCGCCGAAUGGGUCGCCGAAAUCUGGCCGUUUUACUCAUGGAUCGGCGAUCGCCGUUUUUGCAGCUCUAGGCCAAAAUUGAGUCAGGGUUUUCGGCGACCUGGCCGGCGGUCGCCGUUCUGGUCGCCGUUUUACUCUUAAACCUAAUUCGGCGGUCAACGCUCCUUUGACCGCCGAUCGCUCCUUUUCCGUCCCGACUCCAGAAUCUUCGUCUUUUCUUGAUCUUUGGGCUCGAUUCUCUCAUAACUCUUCUCUUCAACAUGUCCUUAUACUCCAUGCUUCCAAAUCACUCAAUUCUGCAUCCAAACAGUCAAAACUACACCCAAACGUGAAAUCACGAAAUAAUAGGCAAUAAACUCUAAACCAUAAUGAAACGGGUGUAAAAUCGACUUAAACCACAGAAUAUAAACCAUAAAAACUAUGCAAAAUGAGUGUUUAUCAACUCCCCCAAACUUAAGAUGUUGCUCGUCCUCGAACAACGAGAAGAACAAAACAAUAAACACGAAUGGGUAAGAUGAUUGGAUCAUCGAUGCCUCAGAAAAAUAAAACUUUUCGAAUUCCCUCAAAUCCUCAACACAGGAACACAAUAAUCACAACAAGCAUAAUCAAUGGCAAAUUCAACCUUGACAUUCCAACAAUUGACUCUCAAGAUAAAAGUGUUUCACUCAACUCUCAAUUGAUGGAUAAAGGACGUGUAUCACUCAUCGAAACUCAUGCAAUGCAGAUUACUUACCAUAUGCUUGCCACUCGUCUCAAAAUCUCCAUCGCUAAAAGUGUGCCAAGAGUAAGAUCAAAUAGGUCUUUAUUUUAGGUUCUAAUGUAGGGACAUUGGAUUAGGUAGGGAAAUUUGGCUAGUGACUCAAAUAAAUUGAUUACACCAACCUUAUGACUUCACCAUUAAGCAUGGAAAAAUUCCAUCUUCACCUAACACAUCUUCAUAAUCAUCACAAAUCAAGGGGUAUAAUCAUCACAAAUCAUGCUAGACAUUCUUUUAUGCUCUCACUUUUCUAAUAACAACGAAGUCGAUUUCAUGAAUUUUUCACUUAUCACUCGACUUUCUCAAACAACUUUCAUCACAAAUUAUCUUCUUCUUUUUUUUUUUUUUUUUUUCUUGAGCUUAUAAGAAUGACUAGAAUAUUUUUCUUUCACCCCUUAUUAUCAAUCAACCCAUCACAAAUACCACACAACGAUCCCUAUAAACUCCAUUACCCCCUAUCGUCCGGUUAAUGAAUCAAAUCUUAGAAAGGCUCAAACACGGUUAACAAGGGAUUAAUGUUUUUCAGGAAAGUGUUUGGGAUAUAACGUGGCUUACAAAAGAUGGCCUAAGAUCAUCUCAAACUCUUGAACACAACGAGCAACCUCGACCAAGACUCAUGGCAAGUUCUAGAAGUGCACUACAUGCAUGAUAACACUCAAAAACAAAGAACAAACUGUAAAUAUGGGCAGUUAAGGCUCAAUUCCUCACCAGCUUGUUCAACGUCAAAAUUCAAGGCAAAAUCUACUCAUCAAUCACACUCAUCGGUUCAAAUCAUGUCACCAUAUCAAGAAAAAUUAGGAAUUACCUUCUUUUUCGCAGAAAUCUUCACAGGCACCUUACCAAACAAUCAAAUGAAGCAACAACCAAUCAAAUAGCAACGAUUUAGAAUAAGUCUGGGAGAAUUAAUCAAUUUAGGUACAUGCCCACGAAUAAAAGAUCUAGAGAAUUUCCUCACCAAAACAUCAAAAAGAACAGAAAAAUGCUAGGCUAAAAAUGCAAACCAUAACUAAUCUCCAUCCCCCUCCCCCAAACUUAUUAAGGAGCUAAUGCUCGAAAAUAAGGUUGGAGGGAAAAAUAGAUAAAAGUUAUGGUUAGCAUACUUACUAAUCCUCAAGAUGGCGGUCCCUGUCUCCUCUGGAACUCCUGAAACUGUC
This 5585-nucleotide long non-coding RNA is filed under the name Salvia miltiorrhiza (redroot sage). Its description in RNAcentral is "long non-coding RNA (SMIL_LNC006907)". The record is from RNAcentral. Lineage: Eukaryota; Viridiplantae; Streptophyta; Magnoliopsida; Lamiales; Lamiaceae.